Molecule: long non-coding RNA, 644 nt
Filed under: Carica papaya (papaya)
Lineage: Eukaryota; Viridiplantae; Streptophyta; Magnoliopsida; Brassicales; Caricaceae
Description: long non-coding RNA (CPAP_LNC008827)
Source: RNAcentral
GAUGGUUUUCAGGUUUUGCUGUAUUGCGAAAUGUCAUGUCUCUUGCUAUGAAUCCCUUUCCAGACACGGCUGCAAAGUGGAACAGUAUGUAAAAGGUAUUGUUGGUUAAUUUGGGACGAAGUUGAGCUUAAUCAAGCAUUGAAUUAGAUUUAAUUGAAGUGUGAUUACAGUUUUAUUAGUUUAGUUUUAUUCAAAUUAUAUCUGUUCAUGCUUAAAUUUUUAAAAACAGAGUUAUAAUCUCAAUCUAUAAGUUAAUUAGAGAAGCAUGAUACGAAGGACUUACCAACAGUUGCAGUUCGAAAAGUUGUCCAUCCUUGCAUGAAAUUUCGAUUUCCAGUCACCACAGUCUCUCCAAUUCCAUCUCCAACAAGCAUAAUAUUAGUUUUCUUUCUCUUCAUAUCUAUGUUUUCUCUAUAAACACCCUUCUUCACAUAUAUAAUAUACCUUCUGUUACUGUAGCUUGGAGCUUCGCUAAUUGCUUCUGUGAUUGUUUGAUAAUUGCCCGUUCCAUCUAACGCCACAAUUGCAUCUACGUGCAUGCGAAGAGGACUGGCAUUGAGAAGCUCUUGAUCACCAUCAGUGAUCCAAUUCGGAAGGUCCAUGUCUUCUGAUUCUGAGCUAUUCUCAAGGUUUGUAAACGGAUG